GAUGAACGCUGGCGGCGUGCCUAAUACAUGCAAGUCGAGCGAACGGACGAGAAGCUUGCUUCUCUGAUGUUAGCGGCGGACGGGUGAGUAACACGUGGAUAACCUACCUAUAAGUCUGGGAUAACUUCGGGAAACCGGAGCUAAUACCGGAUAAUAUCUUGAACCGCAUUGUUCAAAAGUGAAAGACGGUCUUGCUGUCACUUAUAGAUGGAUCCGCGCUGCAUUAGCUAGUUGGUAAGGUAACGGCUUACCAAGGCAACGAUGCAUAGCCGACCUGAGAGAGUGAUCGGCCACACUAGAACUGAGACACGGUCCAGACUCCUAAGGGAGGCAGCAGUAGGGAAUCUUCCGCAAUGGGCGAAAGCCUGACGGAGCAACGCCGCGUGAGUGAUGAAGGUCUUCGGAUCGUAAAACUCUGUUAUUAGGGAAGAACAUAUGUGUAAGUAACUGUGCACAUCUUGACGGUACCUAAUCAGAAAGCCACGGCUAACUACGUG
RNAcentral lists this ribosomal RNA (497 nucleotides) under uncultured bacterium. Its description in RNAcentral is "partial 16S ribosomal RNA". It matches the Rfam family "Bacterial small subunit ribosomal RNA", at positions 28 to 507 of the family's 1533-position model. The record is from RNAcentral.